This 330-nucleotide unclassified non-coding RNA is filed under the name soil metagenome. Its description in RNAcentral is "partial contains 5.8S ribosomal RNA, internal transcribed spacer 2, and large subunit ribosomal RNA". The stretch from base 5 to 121 matches the Rfam family "5.8S ribosomal RNA", at positions 38 to 154 of the family's 154-position model. The record is from RNAcentral.
GAUGGAAGAACGUAGCGAAAUGCGAUAAGUAAUGUGAAUUGCAGAAUUCAGUGAAUCAUCGAAUCUUUGAACGCACAUUGCGCCCCCUGGUAUUCCGGGGGGCAUGCCUGUCCGAGCGUCAUUACAACCCUCAAGCUCAGCUUGGUAUUGGGCCCCGCCGACCCGGCGGGCCCUAAAGUCAGUGGCGGUGCCGUCCGGCUCCGAGCGUAGUAAUUCUUCUCGCUCUGGAGGUCCGGUCGUGUGCUCGCCAGCAACCCCCAAUUUUUUUCAGGUUGACCUCGGAUCAGGUAGGGAUACCCGCUGAACUUAAGCAUAUCAAUAAGCGGAGGA